RNAcentral lists this ribosomal RNA (253 nucleotides) under uncultured bacterium. RNAcentral describes it as "partial 16S ribosomal RNA". It matches the Rfam family "Bacterial small subunit ribosomal RNA", at positions 524 to 776 of the family's 1533-position model. The record is from RNAcentral.
UACGGAGGGUGCAAGCGUUAUCCGGAUUCACUGGGUUUAAAGGGUGCGUAGGUGGACAGGUAAGUCAGUGGUGAAAUCUCCGGGCUUAACUCGGAAACUGCCAUUGAUACUAUCUGUCUUGAAUACCGUGGAGGUCAGCGGAAUAUGUCAUGUAGCGGUGAAAUGCUUAGAUAUGACAUAGAACACCAAUUGCGAAGGCAGCUGGCUACACGAAUAUUGACACUGAUGCACGAAAGCGUGGGGAUCAAACAGG